AGCGCUACAGUGUUUUCUGAAUUUGUGUGUGCAAAAAACCAAUUUUUCAAAUAACAAAUGAAGCUUUUCAUAAACAUAAAUCUGAUUUAAAUUUAAUAAUUUUAUAUAUUUUCUGAUAAUGUUAAGGUGCUGGUAGUAUUCUGUGUAUUGAAUGGACUCUUGAUGCCAUCUAAAAUGGCCUAAGCCACGACAAGCCAGACAUGAAUUACAUUUUUUGUAAACAUCAUUUUGAGAAAAGAAGCUAAAAAUAAUCCAGAGUUAUACUGGAAUCAAAAGAAGUUUUCCAUAAACGUAAGUAAAUCAGAUACGUAAAAAACGUUACAGAGAAUACUCCAAGGAUAAAGAAUUAUCGAAAAUUAAUUCUAAUGAUUUACUUUCUUUAUUUUCUUUUAUGAUGAUCAAAUAUAUAAUUUUUUGACUGAUUAGUAUUUUAAUUGAAAAGAAGGCAUCUCGACAUUGGAAUCGAAGGUUAUCCGUUCAAUAAUUGUGAUAUAAAGGUAGAUGAUACUCGUUUAAAUAUAAUAUAAUUUUACAAAAAUGAAUGAGAAUAAUGUAAAGGACUUGUGUGAGUUCAUUUUAAUGUUUGAAGAAAUAGUAAAAGAAAUCAGAGAAGCUGAUGAAAAAUUGAAAUCACUUAAACUAAUGGAUAUGUCAUCGUUGAGCGAUGUCGGUAGAGUUAAUAUAAAUGAAUCAAAAAAGAAUCUGGAAAAGCUAUUAGAUACAACCAAACUUCGAAUUCGUAACCAAAUAAAAAAUUUCCAUUUUUGGAUGGGAAAGAUCUCAGAAGAUUGGGGCAGCACAGCAGAGCUUCGUCAUACUAUUUGGGCUCUUAAAAAUUAUCUUCUCAAUAGUUGGAUAGAUAAACAAUUAAAAAUGUUAUCUUAAUUUAUUAUUUUUUCUUUUAACAUAUUGAAGUAAAAAUAUAUUUUUAUAAGCUUAAAAAUAAAAUGAUAU
Chelonus insularis is the source of this 954-nucleotide long non-coding RNA. RefSeq lists it as uncharacterized. NCBI's taxonomy places the organism in Eukaryota, Metazoa, Arthropoda, Insecta, Hymenoptera, Braconidae. The record is from RefSeq and is a predicted model, not a curated record. The transcript is spliced from 3 exons.